Long non-coding RNA from Perognathus longimembris pacificus (Pacific pocket mouse), 1914 nucleotides. RefSeq lists it as uncharacterized. NCBI's taxonomy places the organism in Eukaryota, Metazoa, Chordata, Mammalia, Rodentia, Heteromyidae. The transcript is spliced from 4 exons. The record is from RefSeq and is a predicted model, not a curated record.
GCCUCAUUACCCGGUUAACUAUUAACACGUGCCCCUCGGGACGGUUUUUGCCGCUCUCCCCUUUGAUGAGCUUACAUCCUUUCAAAUUUAAUUCAAAGGUCUGCUUUUGAGUUCCAGGCCUUUAGCGCCAAAUUCCAAACAGUUUGCCCACCCUCAGUGACAGGAUCCACACGGGUUGAAUUCAGAGAAAGUGGCUGCCCUUCUUUUCCUUCAGAGGGAUUGGUUCUGGCCUCCGGGCUUGCUGGCUCGUUUUCACACCUAUGCUAUAUACAUGUCAGUUCGCUUAGCCCAGCCUCUUAAAUAUUGCCAUUCGUUUAGUAUUGUUUAAGAUUUAUGGAUACUAGUCACACUUAUUGAUUUAACUAGGUAUUUAAAGUCACAUACACACACAGAUCUGGCCACUUUCACACCUCCUUUAUUUUUGUUGUUCAGUUUACCCAUAUACUGUUGCCAGUGUAGAAAAGACCAUCUGCCAGGGAGACCCUUUCAAAAUUAUCAGUCAGACAUGUCUUGAAUAAGGACCUAGAUGUGCUCCACUCAUAUCAGAAAGGAACCCUAGUAAGGCCAUGUCUAGCCAUCACACUACGUUGUAAUAUGUGCUUUGGCCUUAUUGGCAUGCUUGUACAUUCCCCUAUUCAUAAAACAACGAUAAUCACCAGAGCAACCAUCAAACACACCCCUUCUUCAGAGAAAGAAGAUCAACAGGAUACUCACCAUGGACUAGUAGUUGAAUGAUGUGCUAACGUUUGGGGGGAAGUUAUCAAAAGUCAUAGACACACAAUCAAGAGUAAUAUGUUAUCUGGCUUAUCUCUUUGGAACUACUUUUAACUUGCAAAAUGUUUGAUGUAUUCAUUUUUAAGGGAAAAAAGUUACAGCUGGUAGUUUGUACAGAAUAUAGCUUACAAUUAUAUUCAUAUAAUAAUGUUCUUUUCGCGGUGGAGGAAUUAAAAUGUACAUCCCACAAAUCUUUCAUCUAAUAGUCUAGGUGAUAUUUUAUAAUAACAUUGGUAUGUCAACAAUGCUGUAGAGUUUGGGGGGGGGGGAAGAGUUUAAAAUGAAAACACUAAGCAACAUGAGAUAACCAGCAUAUUACUUUAUCCAGUACUGAUUUGUUGACCUGUAACAGAUUCAAACAGUAGAUUAGAGAUUUAGAGAAAAACAUUCUCUUUUCCCCACACCUAAGUUGUUUCAAAUUGUCUCCAAUUAGGAAGAAAAAUGUUGGUGUUUUUUUUAACAUCUCUUACAGUUCAUGUACUGUUGAAGCCAUUCCCCAAGGAAUUUCUAUGAGCUGAUUUUAAAAAGUAGAUCUUGAACGUAACAUCUAACAUACUAAUCUUGCAUUAUAUUGACCCAUAUUGCGAUUCUGCAUUCACUCUUCUUUCAGGAUAGGAGGAACUGUCCUUAGAGCAACAACAAGCCUGAGGUUUCAGCUCAGCAAGCUGAGAGUUGCAGACACUUCUCCCGAGGACAUUACCCCCUCUGUCCUCUCAGUCAUGUCUAGAGCAAAUCUGCUUUUCAAACGUCUGAUGGGGGGAAGGAAUGGCCUGGGCUGGAGCGAUUUCUAAGAGCUCGUGCUCUUAGAAGAAGAAACUCAGAGUUAAGAACAAGAUUGUGAAUGUGGGGAACUGGUUGCCCUGUGAAACGUGGAUCUCCUGGAGGACACUGCAUAAUGUUUGGUAUCCUCCCUCCUUUGACCUCUCUUGGCUAUGACAGUUUCUCAGAUUUCCCUUGCUUUUGGUGACACUUCUGAGGAGUAUUGGCUAGUUCUUUGCCGGAGACACCGAGAAUCUGGGAUCUGUGCCCUGUGAUCACUGCCUACCGGUAAAAGAUAAAAGAAGGAUGGUGGACGGCGGAAGCCUCUAGAAGCAUCCCCUGGUCCAGGCCAAGAGCCACCUGGGAGAUCCUGUGGUGCAU